This 63-nucleotide transfer RNA is filed under the name Okanagana oregona. RNAcentral's name for it is "tRNA-Glu". Lineage: Eukaryota; Metazoa; Arthropoda; Insecta; Hemiptera; Cicadidae. The record is from RNAcentral.
AUUUAUAGAGUUUAUAAAAACACUUCAUUUUCACUGAAGAGAUAAGCUCGUGCUUUAUAAAUA